UGGGGGGCUGCGGAAGGAU
This 19-nucleotide ribosomal RNA is filed under the name Pleurotus eryngii var. ferulae. RNAcentral's name for it is "partial 18S ribosomal RNA". The record is from RNAcentral. Lineage: Eukaryota; Fungi; Basidiomycota; Agaricomycetes; Agaricales; Pleurotaceae.